RNAcentral lists this ribosomal RNA (3001 nucleotides) under Escherichia coli. Its description in RNAcentral is "bacterial LSU rRNA". It matches the Rfam family "Bacterial large subunit ribosomal RNA". The record is from RNAcentral. Lineage: Bacteria; Pseudomonadati; Pseudomonadota; Gammaproteobacteria; Enterobacterales; Enterobacteriaceae.
UUAAGCGACUAAGCGUACACGGUGGAUGCCCUGGCAGUCAGAGGCGAUGAAGGACGUGCUAAUCUGCGAUAAGCGUCGGUAAGGUGAUAUGAACCGUUAUAACCGGCGAUUUCCGAAUGGGGAAACCCAGUGUGUUUCGACACACUAUCAUUAACUGAAUCCAUAGGUUAAUGAGGCGAACCGGGGGAACUGAAACAUCUAAGUACCCCGAGGAAAAGAAAUCAACCGAGAUUCCCCCAGUAGCGGCGAGCGAACGGGGAGGAGCCCAGAGCCUGAAUCAGUGUGUGUGUUAGUGGAAGCGUCUGGAAAGGCGCGCGAUACAGGGUGACAGCCCCGUACACAAAAAUGCACAUGCUGUGAGCUCGAUGAGUAGGGCGGGACACGUGGUAUCCUGUCUGAAUAUGGGGGGACCAUCCUCCAAGGCUAAAUACUCCUGACUGACCGAUAGUGAACCAGUACCGUGAGGGAAAGGCGAAAAGAACCCCGGCGAGGGGAGUGAAAAAGAACCUGAAACCGUGUACGUACAAGCAGUGGGAGCACGCUUAGGCGUGNNNNNNNNNNUGAGGGAAAGGCGAAAAGAACCCCGGCGAGGGGAGUGAAAAAGAACCUGAAACCGUGUACGUACAAGCAGUGGGAGCCUCUUUAUGGGGUGACUGCGUACCUUUUGUAUAAUGGGUCAGCGACUUAUAUUCUGUAGCAAGGUUAACCGAAUAGGGGAGCCGAAGGGAAACCGAGUCUUAACUGGGCGUUAAGUUGCAGGGUAUAGACCCGAAACCCGGUGAUCUAGCCAUGGGCAGGUUGAAGGUUGGGUAACACUAACUGGAGGACCGAACCGACUAAUGUUGAAAAAUUAGCGGAUGACUUGUGGCUGGGGGUGAAAGGCCAAUCAAACCGGGAGAUAGCUGGUUCUCCCCGAAAGCUAUUUAGGUAGCGCCUCGUGAAUUCAUCUCCGGGGGUAGAGCACUGUUUCGGCAAGGGGGUCAUCCCGACUUACCAACCCGAUGCAAACUGCGAAUACCGGAGAAUGUUAUCACGGGAGACACACGGCGGGUGCUAACGUCCGUCGUGAAGAGGGAAACAACCCAGACCGCCAGCUAAGGUCCCAAAGUCAUGGUUAAGUGGGAAACGAUGUGGGAAGGCCCAGACAGCCAGGAUGUUGGCUUAGAAGCAGCCAUCAUUUAAAGAAAGCGUAAUAGCUCACUGGUCGAGUCGGCCUGCGCGGAAGAUGUAACGGGGCUAAACCAUGCACCGAAGCUGCGGCAGCGACGCUUAUGCGUUGUUGGGUAGGGGAGCGUUCUGUAAGCCUGUGAAGGUGUGCUGUGAGGCAUGCUGGAGGUAUCAGAAGUGCGAAUGCUGACAUAAGUAACGAUAAAGCGGGUGAAAAGCCCGCUCGCCGGAAGACCAAGGGUUCCUGUCCAACGUUAAUCGGGGCAGGGUGAGUCGACCCCUAAGGCGAGGCCGAAAGGCGUAGUCGAUGGGAAACAGGUUAAUAUUCCUGUACUUGGUGUUACUGCGAAGGGGGGACGGAGAAGGCUAUGUUGGCCGGGCGACGGUUGUCCCGGUUUAAGCGUGUAGGCUGGUUUUCCAGGCAAAUCCGGAAAAUCAAGGCUGAGGCGUGAUGACGAGGCACUACGGUGCUGAAGCAACAAAUGCCCUGCUUCCAGGAAAAGCCUCUAAGCAUCAGGUAACAUCAAAUCGUACCCCAAACCGACACAGGUGGUCAGGUAGAGAAUACCAAGGCGCUUGAGAGAACUCGGGUGAAGGAACUAGGCAAAAUGGUGCCGUAACUUCGGGAGAAGGCACGCUGAUAUGUAGGUGAAGUCCCUCGCGGAUGGAGCUGAAAUCAGUCGAAGAUACCAGCUGGCUGCAACUGUUUAUUAAAAACACAGCACUGUGCAAACACGAAAGUGGACGUAUACGGUGUGACGCCUGCCCGGUGCCGGAAGGUUAAUUGAUGGGGUCAGCGCAAGCGAAGCUCUUGAUCGAAGCCCCGGUAAACGGCGGCCGUAACUAUAACGGUCCUAAGGUAGCGAAAUUCCUUGUCGGGUAAGUUCCGACCUGCACGAAUGGCGUAAUGAUGGCCAGGCUGUCUCCACCCGAGACUCAGUGAAAUUGAACUCGCUGUGAAGAUGCAGUGUACCCGCGGCAAGACGGAAAGACCCCGUGAACCUUUACUAUAGCUUGACACUGAACAUUGAGCCUUGAUGUGUAGGAUAGGUGGGAGGCUUAGAAGUGUGGACGCCAGUCUGCAUGGAGCCGACCUUGAAAUACCACCCUUUAAUGUUUGAUGUUCUAACGUUGACCCGUAAUCCGGGUUGCGGACAGUGUCUGGUGGGUAGUUUGACUGGGGCGGUCUCCUCCUAAAGAGUAACGGAGGAGCACGAAGGUUGGCUAAUCCUGGUCGGACAUCAGGAGGUUAGUGCAAUGGCAUAAGCCAGCUUGACUGCGAGCGUGACGGCGCGAGCAGGUGCGAAAGCAGGUCAUAGUGAUCCGGUGGUUCUGAAUGGAAGGGCCAUCGCUCAACGGAUAAAAGGUACUCCGGGGAUAACAGGCUGAUACCGCCCAAGAGUUCAUAUCGACGGCGGUGUUUGGCACCUCGAUGUCGGCUCAUCACAUCCUGGGGCUGAAGUAGGUCCCAAGGGUAUGGCUGUUCGCCAUUUAAAGUGGUACGCGAGCUGGGUUUAGAACGUCGUGAGACAGUUCGGUCCCUAUCUGCCGUGGGCGCUGGAGAACUGAGGGGGGCUGCUCCUAGUACGAGAGGACCGGAGUGGACGCAUCACUGGUGUUCGGGUUGUCAUGCCAAUGGCACUGCCCGGUAGCUAAAUGCGGAAGAGAUAAGUGCUGAAAGCAUCUAAGCACGAAACUUGCCCCGAGAUGAGUUCUCCCUGACUCCUUGAGAGUCCUGAAGGAACGUUGAAGACGACGACGUUGAUAGGCCGGGUGUGUAAGCGCAGCGAUGCGUUGAGCUAACCGGUACUAAUGAACCGUGAGGCUUAACCUU